UGAGCAACCUGCCCUUCUCAUCGGAAUAAAGCGUUGGAAACGACGUCUAAUGCCGAAUACGACCUCCUUUCGCAUGAUCGGAGGUGGAAAGCUCCGGCGGAGAAGGAUGAGCUCGCGGCCUAUCAGCUAGUUGGUGUGGGUAAUGGCCCACCAAGGCGACGACGGGUAGCCGGCCUGAGAGGGUGACCGGCCACACUGGGACUGAGACACGGCCCAGACUCCUACGGGA
This 229-nucleotide ribosomal RNA is filed under the name uncultured bacterium. RNAcentral's name for it is "partial 16S ribosomal RNA". It matches the Rfam family "Bacterial small subunit ribosomal RNA", at positions 118 to 346 of the family's 1533-position model. The record is from RNAcentral.